AAACUUUACAAUGCGGGAAACCGCGAUAAGGGGACACUGAGUGCCAGCAUAUUAUGUUGGCUGUCCACAUGUAUAAAAAUCAUGUGUUAGCAAGGGCCGGGCAAGACCGGUGCCAGCCGCCGCGGUAACACCGGCGGCCCGAGUGGUGAUCACUUUUAUUGGGUCUAAAGGGUCCGUAGCCGGUUUGAUCAGUCUUCUGGGAAAUCUGACAGCUCAACUGUUAGGCUUUCAGGGGAUACUGUUAGACUUGGGACCGGGAGAGGUAAGAGGUACUACAGGGGUAGGAGUGAAAUCUUGUAAUCCCUGUGGGACCACCAGUGGCGAAGGCGUCUUACCAGAACGGGUCCGACGGUGAGGGACGAAAGCUGGGGGCACGAACCGGAUUAGAUACCCGGGUAGUCCUAGCUGUAAACGAUGCUCGCUAGGUGUCAGACACGGUGCGACCGUGUUUGGUGCCGCAGGGAAGCCGUUAAGCGAGCCACUUGGAAGUACGUCG
Molecule: ribosomal RNA, 496 nt
Filed under: uncultured euryarchaeote
Lineage: Archaea; Methanobacteriati; Methanobacteriota
Description: bacterial SSU rRNA
Rfam family: Archaeal small subunit ribosomal RNA
Source: RNAcentral